RNAcentral lists this ribosomal RNA (197 nucleotides) under uncultured bacterium. RNAcentral describes it as "partial 16S ribosomal RNA". It matches the Rfam family "Bacterial small subunit ribosomal RNA", at positions 328 to 539 of the family's 1533-position model. The record is from RNAcentral.
ACGCUCGACACCUACGGGAGGAGCAGUGGGGAAUAUUGCACAAUGGGGGGAACCCUGAUGCAGCGACGCCGCGUGAGUGAAGAAGUACUUCGGUAUGUAAAGCUCUAUCAGCAGGGAAGAAAAUGACGGUACCUGACUAAGAAGCCCCGGCUAACUACGUGCCUGCAGCCGCGGUAAUCUGAGCGGGCUGGCAAGGC